Molecule: long non-coding RNA, 1178 nt
Organism: Helianthus annuus (common sunflower)
Lineage: Eukaryota; Viridiplantae; Streptophyta; Magnoliopsida; Asterales; Asteraceae
Exons: 3
Source: RefSeq, a predicted model, not a curated record
CCCCCCCCCAAAUUCUAUACGUACACAAAACCUAAAUCAAACCCCACCAAGUUCAGGAGAUCUCCACCAUAUCUCCGGCGUGUGUUCGCCACGACCAUCGCCAAUUCCAACUUCCACAAACCCUAACUAGUUUUAGUUACCACUUAUCAUUAACGCUCUCCUCUGAUCUACUCUCCUCCGCAUCCUAAAUUAAGCGUAUGAUUCAGUUUGAAGCAAGCUAGAAUGGGAUUACUCGGAUCAAUUUUCACUUUCCUCCUCCUUCGGAUGCAGGCGGGCUAAUUCGAAAACAUCUUCUGUGGAGACUCUAAGAGAUCUAAAGUCAAAUGGGUGUAUGACCAGAUGCCCGAGCCAAGGUGGUGAUACUACCACUACUCAUACUCUGUUGGUAAGAGGUUGGGAUAGGAUCGUCCCGGUUGGCACCUAUGUCCCUGGUUGCCCAUCGACAGCCAACGCGCUCUUAUAUGGGCUUCUCUAGCUGCAGAAAAAGAUCAACCGACCCAAGGACUUCCAUCAUUGGUGGUCCAAGUGAGGUUGGAUGUCCUUGCUGACUGAGGCUGUUAUGAGGAUAAUAGAGGUCAAGACUACUAGGAAGCCAAAGAGAAGAUUAUUCAGGUUCUGUUGGCCGCGGCUUCAUAUUCUUUUAGAAGGGGAUGGGGCAAAGGGUUGUGGUUCUAUUGUUGUGUGAGUUUUGGUGUCCAUACAGGUUCUGAAAGGGUGGGAGGGGUGUGUUUUGGUGUGUGUUUAACUGGGCUGCGGUUAAUAUUUGGUAUAUAGUGUGUUGGUACUAGCAACUUAGUUCCCGGAUGUUCAUUUCUAGUAUAUGCGUUCUUUUUCAUGUUAAUUUCAUUUCGGGUGGGAACCUUUAUUCCAAAAGCUUUAGUGGUGUAGUGGGUCAAGAUGGCCGAGGCAUAAAGUCUAGACUAUGUUGAGGACAAAAAGAAAGCUAUAGCUGGAAAUAAGGUUUUUUAAUGAAGAGAUUCAGAGGAUAUGAAGUAUUCAGAAGGAUAUAUAGUGUGGUUGAAGGAAGAGAGAAGGUUUACAAGAGGAACCCAAGUUAUAAGAUGUGUAUGUACAGAUGUAGUUAAAGCAGCAACAGUUUAGUAUUCCUAAGUGUCCAAUAUGUGUUCCCAGUUUAGCAUUCUUUUAUUUAUUAAUCUUUAGUAAGUUGUUUACAAAUA